Molecule: ribosomal RNA, 526 nt
Filed under: uncultured bacterium
Lineage: Bacteria
Description: bacterial SSU rRNA
Rfam family: Bacterial small subunit ribosomal RNA
Source: RNAcentral
AAUAGAUACCCAGGUAGUCCACGCCGUAAACGAUGAGUGCUAAGUGUUAGAGGGUUUCCGCCCUUUAGUGCUGCAGCUAACGCAUUAAGCACUCCGCCUGGGGAGUACGGCCGCAAGGCUGAAACUCAAAGGAAUUGACGGGGGCCCGCACAAGCGGUGGAGCAUGUGGUUUAAUUCGAAGCAACGCGAAGAACCUUACCAGGUCUUGACAUCCUCUGACAACCCUAGAGAUAGGGCUUUCCCCUUCGGGGGACAGAGCGACAGGUGGUGCAUGGUUGUCGUCAGCUCGUGUCGUGAGAUGUUGGGUUAAGUCCCGCAACGAGCGCAACCCUUGAUCUUAGUUGCCAGCAUUCAGUUGGGCACUCUAAGGUGACUGCCGGUGACAAACCGGAGGAAGGUGGGGAUGACGUCAAAUCAUCAUGCCCCUUAUGACCUGGGCUACACACGUGCUACAAUGGAUGGUACAAAGGGCUGCAAACCUGCGAAGGUAAGCGAAUCCCAUAAAGCCAUUCUCAGUUCGGAUUGC